RNAcentral lists this ribosomal RNA (441 nucleotides) under uncultured bacterium. RNAcentral describes it as "partial 16S ribosomal RNA". It matches the Rfam family "Bacterial small subunit ribosomal RNA", at positions 338 to 795 of the family's 1533-position model. The record is from RNAcentral.
CCUACGGGAGGCAGCAGUGGGGGAUAUUGCACAAUGGGCGGAACCCUGAUGCAGCGACGCCGCGUGGGUGAAGGAGUGCUUCGGCAUGUAAAGCCCUAUCGGCAGGGAAGAAGCAAGACGGUACCUGACUAUUAAGCCCCGGCUAACUACGUGCCAGCAGCCGCGGCAAUACGUAGGGGGCGAGCGUUAUCCGGAUUCACUGGGUGUAAAGGGAGCGUAGAUGGUCAUGGUAGACAGGGGUGAAAGCCCGGGGCCCAACCCCGGGACUGCCCUUGGAACUGGAUGGCUGGAGUGCGGGAGGGGCAGGCGGAAUUCCUGGUGUAGCGGUGAAAUGCGUAGAUAUCAGGAAGAACACCGGCGGCGAAGGCAGCCUGCUGGACUGCGACUGACGUUGAGGCUCGAAAGCGUGGGGAGCGAACAGGAUUAGAUACCCUAGUAGUC